RNAcentral lists this ribosomal RNA (1388 nucleotides) under Salmonella enterica. RNAcentral's name for it is "partial 23S ribosomal RNA". It matches the Rfam family "Bacterial large subunit ribosomal RNA", at positions 598 to 1885 of the family's 2925-position model. The record is from RNAcentral. Lineage: Bacteria; Pseudomonadati; Pseudomonadota; Gammaproteobacteria; Enterobacterales; Enterobacteriaceae.
UGCGUACCUUUUGUAUAAUGGGUCAGCGACUUAUAUUCUGUAGCAAGGUUAACCGUAUAGGGGAGCCGGAGGGAAACCGAGUCUUAAUUGGGCGUUAAGUUGCAGGGUAUAGACCCGAAACCCGGUGAUCUAGCCAUGGGCAGGUUGAAGGUUGGGUAACACUAACUGGAGGACCGAACCGACUAAUGUUGAAAAAUUAGCGGAUGACCUGUGGCUGGGGGUGAAAGGCCAAUCAAACCGGGAGAUAGCUGGUUCUCCCCGAAAGCUAUUUAGGUAGCGCCUCGUGAAUUCAUCUCCGGGGGUAGAGCACUGUUUCGGCUAGGGGGCCAUCCCGGCUUACCAACCCGAUGCAAACUGCGAAUACCGGAGAAUGUUAUCACGGGAGACACACGGCGGGUGCUAACGUCCGUCGUGAAGAGGGAAACAACCCAGACCGCCAGCUAAGGUCCCAAAGUCAUGGUUAAGUGGGAAACGAUGUGGGAAGGCCCAGACAGCCAGGAUGUUGGCUUAGAAGCAGCCAUCAUUUAAAGAAAGCGUAAUAGCUCACUGGUCGAGUCGGCCUGCGCGGAAGAUGUAACGGGGCUAAACCAUGCACCGAAGCUGCGGCAGCGAACGUAUCACCCAAGACAACUUUACGGAGUUGACGAUUGACGGAGCGAAGCGACGUCAAAGCGUUCAUUAAAGUCGAGUUGGCUUAGGGAUACGUUCGUUGGGUAGGGGAGCGUUCUGUAAGCCUGUGAAGGUGUGUCGUGAGGCAUGCUGGAGGUAUCAGAAGUGCGAAUGCUGACAUAAGUAACGAUAAAGCGGGUGAAAAGCCCGCUCGCCGGAAGACCAAGGGUUCCUGUCCAACGUUAAUCGGGGCAGGGUGAGUCGACCCCUAAGGCGAGGCCGAAAGGCGUAGUCGAUGGGAAACGGGUUAAUAUUCCCGUACUUGGUGUUACUGCGAAGGGGGGACGGAGAAGGCUAUGUUGGCCGGGCGACGGUUGUCCCGGUUUAAGCGUGUAGGUGUGUGUUCCAGGUAAAUCCGGUUCACUUUAACACUGAGGCGUGACGACGAGGCACUACGGUGCUGAAGCAACAAAUGCCCUGCUUCCAGGAAAAGCCUCUAAGCAUCAGGUAACAUCAAAUCGUACCCCAAACCGACACAGGUGGUCAGGUAGAGAAUACCAAGGCGCUUGAGAGAACUCGGGUGAAGGAACUAGGCAAAAUGGUGCCGUAACUUCGGGAGAAGGCACGCUGACACGUAGGUGAAGUGAUUUACUCAUGGAGCUGAAGUCAGUCGAAGAUACCAGCUGGCUGCAACUGUUUAUUAAAAACACAGCACUGUGCAAACACGAAAGUGGACGUAUACGGUGUGACGCCUGCCCGGUGCCGGAAGGUUAAUUGAU